ACACACGGCGGGUGCUAACGUCCGUCGUGAAAAGGGAAACAACCCAGACCGUCAGCUAAGGUCCCAAAGUUAUGGUUAAGUGGGAAACGAUGUGGGAAGGCUUAGACAGCUAGGAGGUUGGCUUAGAAGCAGCCACCCUUUAAAGAAAGCGUAAUAGCUCACUAGUCGAGUCGGCCUGCGCGGAAGAUGUAACGGGGCUCAAACCAUACACCGAAGCUACGGGUAUCACGUAAGUGAUGCGGUAGAGGAGCGUUCUGUAAGCCUGUGAAGGUGAGUUGAGAAGCUUGCUGGAGGUAUCAGAAGUGCGAAUGCUGACAUGAGUAACGAUAAUGGGUGUGAAAAACACCCACGCCGAAAGACCAAGGUUUCCUGCGCAACGUUAAUCGACGCAGGGUUAGUCGGUCCCUAAGGCGAGGCUGAAAAGCGUAGUCGAUGGAAAACAGGUUAAUAUUCCUGUACUUCUGGUUAUUGCGAUGGAGGGACGGAGAAGGCUAGGCCAGCUUGGCGUUGGUUGUCCAAGUUUAAGGUGGUAGGCUGGAAUCUUAGGUAAAUCCGGGAUUCCAAGGCCGAGAGCUGAUGACGAGUUACCUUUCAGGUAACGAAGUGGUUGAUGCCAUGCUUCCAAGAAAAGCUUCUAAGCUUCAGGUAACCAGGAACCGUACCCCAAACCGACACAGGUGGUUGGGUAGAGAAUACCAAGGCGCUUGAGAGAACUCGGGUGAAGGAACUAGGCAAAAUGGCACCGUAACUUCGGGAGAAGGUGCGCCGGUGAGGGUGAAGGACUUGCUCCGUAAGCUCAUGCCGGUCGAAGAUACCAGGCCGCUGCGACUGUUUAUUAAAAACACAGCACUCUGCAAACACGAAAGUGGACGUAUAGGGUGUGACGCCUGCCCGGUGCCGGAAGGUUAAUUGAUGGGGUUAGCUAACGCGAAGCUCUUGAUCGAAGCCCCGGUAAACGGCGGCCGUAACUAUAACGGUCCUAAGGUAGCGAAAUUCCUUGUCGGGUAAGUUCCGACCUGCACGAAUGGCGUAACGAUGGCGGCGCUGUCUCCACCCGAGACUCAGUGAAAUUGAAAUCGCUGUGAAGAUGCAGUGUAUCCGCGGCUAGACGGAAAGACCCCGUGAACCUUUACUAUAGCUUUGCACUGGACUUUGAAUUUGCUUGUGUAGGAUAGGUGGGAGGCUUUGAAGCGUGGACGCCAGUCUGCGUGGAGCCAUCCUUGAAAUACCACCCUGGCAACUUUGAGGUUCUAACUCAGGUCCGUUAUCCGGAUCGAGGACAGUGUAUGGUGGGUAGUUUGACUGGGGCGGUCUCCUCCUAAAGAGUAACGGAGGAGUACGAAGGUGCGCUCAGACCGGUCGGAAAUCGGUCGUAGAGUAUAAAGGCAAAAGCGCGCUUGACUGCGAGACAGACACGUCGAGCAGGUACGAAAGUAGGUCUUAGUGAUCCGGUGGUUCUGUAUGGAAGGGCCAUCGCUCAACGGAUAAAAGGUACUCCGGGGAUAACAGGCUGAUACCGCCCAAGAGUUCAUAUCGACGGCGGUGUUUGGCACCUCGAUGUCGGCUCAUCACAUCCUGGGGCUGAAGCCGGUCCCAAGGGUAUGGCUGUUCGCCAUUUAAAGUGGUACGCGAGCUGGGUUUAGAACGUCGUGAGACAGUUCGGUCCCUAUCUGCCGUGGACGUUUGAGAUUUGAGAGGGGCUGCUCCUAGUACGAGAGGACCGGAGUGGACGAACCUCUGGUGUUCCGGUUGUCACGCCAGUGGCAUUGCCGGGUAGCUAUGUUCGGAAUAGAUAACCGCUGAAAGCAUCUAAGCGGGAAACUAGCCUCAAGAUGAGAUCUCACUGGAACCUUGA
RNAcentral lists this ribosomal RNA (1855 nucleotides) under Pseudomonas sp. CF150. RNAcentral describes it as "bacterial LSU rRNA". It matches the Rfam family "Bacterial large subunit ribosomal RNA", at positions 984 to 2831 of the family's 2925-position model. The record is from RNAcentral. Lineage: Bacteria; Pseudomonadati; Pseudomonadota; Gammaproteobacteria; Pseudomonadales; Pseudomonadaceae.